This 120-nucleotide small nucleolar RNA is filed under the name Hucho hucho (huchen). RNAcentral describes it as "Small nucleolar RNA SNORA9 (ENSHHUG00000041008.1)". Lineage: Eukaryota; Metazoa; Chordata; Actinopteri; Salmoniformes; Salmonidae. The record is from RNAcentral.
UAGAGAACUGAGGUGGUUUGAGGCUCUGUUCUCUCCUGUAGUGUCUAGUAGAGAACUGAGGUGGUUUUGAGGCCCUGCCGUUUCUUAAAAUGCAAGGCUAUAGACAAACCUCAGACAAUA